CCCCUUUUAAAAGCACUCAGUGGGCCUUUUCCUGAUACCCACUGAGUCGUCAAGAAAGGGAAGAAUAAAAACAUCACUUUUGUGUGAAGCGGCAGCAUCUUACGUUGUUUUGAUUCAAUCAGUGGUAUGACGAUG
Molecule: small nucleolar RNA, 135 nt
Filed under: Dasypus novemcinctus (nine-banded armadillo)
Lineage: Eukaryota; Metazoa; Chordata; Mammalia; Cingulata; Dasypodidae
Source: RNAcentral